This 551-nucleotide ribosomal RNA is filed under the name Amblydoras sp. 2 'finely reticulate shield'. Its description in RNAcentral is "partial 16S ribosomal RNA". It matches the Rfam family "Bacterial large subunit ribosomal RNA", at positions 1850 to 2606 of the family's 2925-position model. Lineage: Eukaryota; Metazoa; Chordata; Actinopteri; Siluriformes; Doradidae. The record is from RNAcentral.
AGGUCUUGCCUGCCCAGUGACAAGUUAAACGGCCGCGGUAUUUUGACCGUGCGAAGGUAGCGCAAUCACUUGUCUUUUAAAUGAAGACCUGUAUGAAUGGCGGAACGAGGGCUUAACUGUCUCCCCUUUCAAGUCAAUGAAAUUGAUCUGCCCGUGCAGAAGCGGACAUACCCUUACAAGACGAGAAGACCCUUUGGAGCUUAAGAUACAAGAUCAACUAUGUCAAGAGCCCCCAAAAUCAAGUUAAACUCAAUAGCACCUGAUCUCUAUCUUCGGUUGGGGCGACCACGGGAGAAAAUAAAGCUCCCAUGCGGACUGGGGUAAACCCCCAAAACUAAGAAGGACACUUCUAAGUCACAGAAUAUCUGACCACAAAGAUCCGGCCACCGGCCGAUCAACGGACCAAGUUACCCUAGGGAUAACAGCGCAAUCCCCUUUCAGAGUCCAUAUCGACAAGGGGGUUUACGACCUCGAUGUUGGAUCAGGACAUCCUAAUGGUGCAGCCGCUAUUAAGGGUUCGUUUGUUCAACGAUUAAAGUCCUACGUGAUCU